GUUUAUAGACACAUCAUCCUGAAGAUGCCUGAUCUCAUCUGUCCUGGAAAGUAGGGUAACAGGGUCAGGGCCAGUUACUGCUUGGUUGGGAGACCACUUGUGAAUACUGAGUGAGCUGUAGGCU
RNAcentral lists this ribosomal RNA (124 nucleotides) under Dromaius novaehollandiae (emu). Lineage: Eukaryota; Metazoa; Chordata; Aves; Casuariiformes; Dromaiidae. The record is from RNAcentral.